RNAcentral lists this ribosomal RNA (460 nucleotides) under uncultured bacterium. RNAcentral's name for it is "partial 16S ribosomal RNA". It matches the Rfam family "Bacterial small subunit ribosomal RNA", at positions 338 to 795 of the family's 1533-position model. The record is from RNAcentral.
CCUACGGGAGGCAGCAGUGAGGAAUAUUGGUCAAUGGACGAGAGUCUGAACCAGCCAAGUAGCGUGAAGGAUGACUGCCCUAUUGGUUGUAAACUUCUUUUAUAUGGGAAUAAAAUGUUCCACGUGUGGGAUUUUGUAUGUACCAUAUGAAUAAGGAUCGGCUAACUCCGUGCCAGCAGCCGCGGUAAUACGGAGGAUCCGAGCGUUAUCCGGAUUUAUUGGGUUUAAAGGGAGCGUAGGUGGAUUGUUAAGUCAGUUGUGAAAGUUUGCGGCUCAACCGUAAAAUUGCAGUUGAAACUGGCAGUCGUGAGUACAGUAGAGGUGGGCGGAAUUCGUGGUGUAGCGGUGAAAUGCUUAGAUAUCACGAAGAACUCCGAUUGCGAAGGCAGCUCACUGGACUGCAACUGACACUGAGGCUCGAAAGUGUGGGUAUCAAACAGGAUUAGAUACCCCUGUAGUC